UACGACCGGCCGGAGACGUACGUCCCCGGCCACAAGUGGAGGCUCCGAUCUCCCACCCGACCACCCUCCGGGGCGGCGGGUCACCGGUCAGGCGGCAUCCAUCGUUCCGUACGGACGAUGGAAAGCUGCCCGAGUCUGCGCCCCGCGGUUCGCACGCGGCGGUGCUCCGGUCGUUUUUGGAGCCCCUGCCUGUGCCCGGCGGGGCUUUUUUC
RNAcentral lists this non-coding RNA (212 nucleotides) under Streptomyces subrutilus. Its description in RNAcentral is "Streptomyces RNA 1601". It matches the Rfam family "Streptomyces RNA 1601". Rfam says of the family: Identified by deep sequencing of transcriptome at the end of exponential growth phase. The record is from Rfam by way of RNAcentral. Lineage: Bacteria; Bacillati; Actinomycetota; Actinomycetes; Kitasatosporales; Streptomycetaceae.